The sequence is a ribosomal RNA, 255 nucleotides long. It matches the Rfam family "Bacterial large subunit ribosomal RNA", at positions 1124 to 1378 of the family's 2925-position model.
UAAAGAAAGCGUAAUAGCUCACUGGUCGAGUCGGCCUGCGCGGAAGAUGUAACGGGGCUAAACCAUGCACCGAAGCUGCGGCAGCGACGCUGUGCGUUGUUGGGUAGGGGAGCGUUCUGUAAGCCUGUGAAGGUGUGUCGUGAGGCAUGCUGGAGGUAUCAGAAGUGCGAAUGCUGACAUAAGUAACGAUAAAGCGGGUGAAAAGCCCGCUCGCCGGAAGACCAAGGGUUCCUGUCCAACGUUAAUCGGGGCAGG